This 71-nucleotide transfer RNA is filed under the name Camelus bactrianus (Bactrian camel). It matches the Rfam family "tRNA". Rfam says of the family: Transfer RNA (tRNA) molecules are approximately 80 nucleotides in length. The record is from Rfam by way of RNAcentral. Lineage: Eukaryota; Metazoa; Chordata; Mammalia; Artiodactyla; Camelidae. RNAcentral also lists the same sequence under 2 other names.
AGGGAUAGAGUUAGUGGUUGAGUACAUGCUUAGUAUGCAUGAGGUCCUGGGUUCAAUCCCCAGUACCUCCA